CCCUUAGAGUUUGAUCCUGGCUCAGGAUGAACGCUAGCUACAGGCUUAACACAUGCAAGUCGAGGGGCAGCGAUGAAGAAAGCUUGCUUUCUUCAGGCGGCGACCGGCGCACGGGUGAGUAACGCGUAUCGAACCUGCCUCAUACUCAGGAAUAGCCUUGCGAAAGUAAGAUUAAUGCCCGAUGUUAUUAGGAUAUCACAUGAUGUUUUAAUUAAAGAUUUAUCGGUGAUGGAUGGGGAUGCGUCUGAUUAGCUUGUUGGCGGGGUAACGGCCCACCAAGGCGACGAUCAGUAGGGGUUCUGAGAGGAAGGUCCCCCACAUUGGAACUGAGACACGGUCCAAACUCCUACGGGAGGCAGCAGUGAGGAAUAUUGGUCAAUGGGCGAGAGCCUGAACCAGCCAAGUAGCGUGCAGGAUGACGGCCCUAUGGGUUGUAAACUGCUUUUAGUUGGGAAUAAAGUGCACCACGUGUGGUGUUUUGUAUGUACCAUCAGAAAAAGGACCGGCUAAUUCCGUGCCAGCAGCCGCGGUAAUACGGAAGGUCCAGGCGUUAUCCGGAUUUAUUGGGUUUAAAGGGAGCGCAGGCGGACCUUUAAGUCAGCUGUGAAAUACGGCGGCUCAACCGUCGAACUGCAGUUGAUACUGGAGGUCUUGAGUGCACACAGGGAUACUGGAAUUCAUGGUGUAGCGGUGAAAUGCUCAGAUAUCAUGAAGAACUCCGAUCGCGAAGGCAGGUAUCCGGGGUGCAACUGACGCUGAGGCUCGAAAGUGCGGGUAUCAAACAGGAUUAGAUACCCUGGUAGUCCGCACAGUAAACGAUGAAUACUCGCGAUUUGCGAUACACAGUAAGUCGCCAAGCGAAAGCGUUAAGUAUUCCACCUGGGG
RNAcentral lists this ribosomal RNA (885 nucleotides) under uncultured bacterium. Its description in RNAcentral is "bacterial SSU rRNA". It matches the Rfam family "Bacterial small subunit ribosomal RNA", at positions 1 to 878 of the family's 1533-position model. The record is from RNAcentral.